CACGCAGGCGGACUGAUAAGUCGGGGGUGAAAUCCCGGGGCUCAACCUCGGAAUUGCCUUCGAUACUGUCAGUCUUGAGUACGGGAGAGGUUGGCGGAAUUCCUAGUGUAGAGGUGAAAUUCGUAGAUAUUAGGAAGAACACCAGUGGCGAAGGCGGCCAACUGGCCCGUUACUGACGCUCAUGUGCGAAAGCGUGGGGAGCAAACAGGAUUAGAUACCCUGGUAGUCCACGCCGUAAACUAUGGAUGCUAGCCGUUGGGGAGCUUGCUCUUCAGUGGCGCAGCUAACGUCUUAAGCAUCCCGCCUGGGGAGUACGGUCGCAAGAUUAAA
RNAcentral lists this ribosomal RNA (330 nucleotides) under uncultured bacterium. Its description in RNAcentral is "bacterial SSU rRNA". It matches the Rfam family "Bacterial small subunit ribosomal RNA", at positions 568 to 898 of the family's 1533-position model. The record is from RNAcentral.